This is a long non-coding RNA of Gallus gallus (chicken), 14461 nucleotides long. RefSeq lists it as uncharacterized. NCBI's taxonomy places the organism in Eukaryota, Metazoa, Chordata, Aves, Galliformes, Phasianidae. The record is from RefSeq and is a predicted model, not a curated record. The transcript is spliced from 3 exons.
UUUUUAGAAGGGUCCGAGAUAUUUGUGCCGUAGCUUUUCUGAAUGACAGAAGGAAUAUUGAUUUACACAGAUUAUUUUCUCUUCAUUUAUCCCUUUAAUGAUGUAUCACCAUGUUUAACCUGUGAUCACCUCAACUUUAAUGUCAGUCAGAAAAACAAUUGAAAUGUAUUGAGUAUUUGUGAGGAACGCAAGAAAGGAGGAGUUAACCAGUAAAGUUUGUCCCUGGAUUACAGAAAACCCCACUUAUGAAACUUGUACAAAUUUGUAUCUUAGUUAUGGGAAUAAAAAAGAAAUAAGGUAAAUAUUACUUAGUUCUCAGUAAUGAGAGCAUUUUUAGUUUCCAGAAGAAUCCAGCUUAGUUCUCCAGAUACUCUCUGCAUAUACACUGACUUUUGAUCUCCCCCUGCAUAGCACAGCAUGGGAGAGUAUCUCUGUAAGUCCUCCAGCAAUUCAGGACUGUGGGUACCUUUGAUGUGCUCCUCUCCCAGCAGAGAGGAAAGUGGGCCUUGGUAGCAAUGGUCCAGGCCAGGCUGACCCACCAGCACGUUGCUGCUGAGCUGCUGGCCCAACUCACCGAUUGCACCCCUAACUUCUGUUCUAUUAAUAGCCAUGUUACAGCCAAAUCAGAAUAUAAGGUCUGGGAUGGGCAGCGCAUGCUGAAAUAGCUUCAGGACUGGGCUGCAGUCAAAGGGAGUCUGUGGUUUUAUUUUUAAACCGGUUGAGCAUAUUUUAAAUUGAAUAAGCAUUGUCAGAACUAAUCAUAUCUCAUACCCAGCAUUCCGCUGAACACUUCAAAUACAUUUCCUCAUGGAGCCUCAUCCCAGCCUGCAGCUGAGUGGUUUUGGUGCCACUGGGCUGACUGACUCAGUGAGGGUCAUCUGCUUACCUGCUGGGAGGAAAAAGCCCGUAUCUGCCUGAGUGGUUACCAGGCUAUGGUAACCAGGUAACAGCUUAGCAACUUUGAAAAAAAUAUCAGCAGAGUAACUUUGCAUGGAGGUAGAUGAGCAAUGCUCAGACAGCCUCCCCCAUUCCCCAGCCAUACGCCAACAGCAUCUUGAGGAGCUGCAGGGUGUUGUGAACAAGCACCAGAGCUGAACAAGGAGCUGAAACCUGGCACCAGUGUGAUGUGACACGUCUACCACGAUUUCCUCCUUGGUUGAAGUGCUUCAUCGUACCUCUGCUGCACCAGUAAGAGCUGUGUGCUCCAACUGCUGGCCUCCAGCUGAGAGCGCCGUGCUUCCCUUCCCAAUGGAAAAGCAACAGAAGUGGCCAUUAAUAGUACGAAUUUAUAGCUUAAGAGGUUUGCAAGUAUCUAAGUGCUGCAUGUGCUAUGAUAAUUUAUCUUUGAACUUGUUAGUAACAAUGCAUAAUUAACAAGUAAGCUGUAGGAACAUGCAAUUGCUAUGUAUUUACAUGGUAUGUGCCAGGCAUUGUGGUGUAAUUACAGAGCUGAUACCUGCUCUGUAGAAUGAGGCGCACAGUGUGCUCUAUUUCAUAUUAUUUCCCACAGCCGCCCAGUGAAGCAGAGCACAGCAUAGCAGGGUUUAAUGACACGCUUUGCUCCAGCGGAGGCAAUCCAUGAGGACAGAGCUACACAGACCUGUGCCCAGCACUGGCAUUUUGGCAUCACCGUAUGUCCUGCUCGCUUGAGUGGCAAUGCACAUGGAGCUCAAGUUACUUAUGCUUUGGAUUGCUGCCCUUUCGGUGAUAUAAAUGGAGUUGACUAUGCAGUACGGCAAUUUUUUCCUCUCAUAUAUAAUAUGACGCAUCUUUGCAAUAAUUACAGGUAAAACAGUGCACAAAAAUAAACUAUUUUCUAUGAAGUUUAAAAUAAAAACAAACAGAUGCCAGCUUGGAACAACUUAUUUACCCUAAAAUUCAUUAGGAUCAGAAUACCAAAUGUGAAGUAGCAUAACACAGGCACCAGGGGAAAAAAAACAGCUAGUGGUGAAAAGUGCAAAGAAAUCUGAUGCAUCUCCAAGCUAGUCAUCUUUUACUUGAUUCAGCAUAAACUGCAUGUAAAAAUAAAUUAAAAUAUUAUAUUUGAGAUUCACUUUUGGCAGGAAAAGGAAUGCUGUGCUUGUCAAAGUGACACAAGAAUUUCUGUGCCCAGUUUCUAAAAUGGUGUCAUCAGAACACAGAUAUGAAGUAUUACCCAUUCUGAGCAGAAAAUACAGACCGUGGUGGGCAGUAGACACAACACUACUCCGGGUAUAGAACUGACUUGAUAGAAACAUUGAUGUACCUGUUGAUGCUUAGGAAAUAAAAUUCAACCUCAGCAUACAGGGAAGCAACCUGAGAGUGGCCUAGUGGAACAAAAAGCUUCUUCCUGCAGCAGACUGAAUGGUCCAGAAUAAGUGAAGCCCAAGUCACUUAUCAGCAACAAGAGUUAACAUUUCAGUCCAUCUCAGAAGAUAUAGCUCAGGAACAUUCAUAAGGUGCACCAAGUCCUUCCUAUACUGAUGAAUUGAAGGUAAUUUCAGAAGAAGCUGAUUUGGAAGGAAAACAAUCUCCUUUUGGAAAAAUUCAUAUCUGGAAAACAUGUUAAUUGCUUUAUGACUUGCAUUCCUCAGUAUCUCUAUACAGAUUUUUUUUUAAUAAUUAUUUUUCAAGAUUUUCAUAAAGUGUACCUUUGGCAAAGGAACUGGGAAGAGAUGCCCACACAUAUCCUAGGUACAAAUGCAGGCACCAUCAAGAUUUCACGACUUGUUAAUUUCUACUUCUUCUAUGUAAAAUCAUGAAGUGCCUGGGUGACAGCUGCAGCAACUGUUUACAUUAUCUGAAAUACCAGCACAGUGUUCUCGCUGCAUACCAACAAGAACCGAGGCCCAUAUUCUACAAACGUUUUCAAAGGAAAUAUUUGAGGCAAGCUGCCAGCCUUGGGUUUGAAAUUCUCACUGCGGUUAAUGGUGGCACGCAGGGUUGGGGUUGACUUUUACCUACUUUUCAAUAUUGCAUAUGCAUUCCAGUACUUUCUUUGUAAGAGGACACAUGGUAAAUAUUCAAAUCCCUCCAAACAGUGAAUUCUUUUAAACUUUUAUCUGAAAAAGAUGCUAUUUUUCAAGCUGAGAAGGGCAGUUUCCUCCAUCUGUUCAGUGGCAGAUAAGUUCAAAACGAAGACUUUCCACCGGCUUCAGUAGGGUCUGAAUCAGACACCUCUGCCAGUGCUUUGAUAGAGUUAUUUUUCAUAAAGAUGCAACAUCAACCGGAAGAAUCCUGUAAUUAUUUCUGGGGAAUUAAUAAAUACUUCUUCAGUGGUGAAACACUGCAUACUUUCAGUCCUUAUUUGGAGCCCAACCACUCUAUAUGUCAUUGAAGGCCUUGUCUCGCACAGACAAUUAGUGAGACAAACUGGAAUGAUGUCUUCCAAAAGCUCUGGCUAGGAGCAGCUCCCAGUUGUGAAGCGUGCAGAUGAUGUUCUCUUUAGGGCUAGAAAAGCUAUCUGCUAGCUGAUGGGAAAAUUACAGGUGCUGAUGAAGUGUGAGCCUCUCAGUGAACAUGUCUGCCUAAGACUGAAAUGAUUUUCUGUAAUUCCUGCUUUCUGCACAAGUUUUCUGGGGAGGGGCUUCAAAAGUGAGAAUUUCCCCAAGGAAAAGGAAAUGUGUCUCUUUGAUAUGGCCAUGGAGCUGAGGAGCAGACACCGUGAGUUACAAGUUCAUGGAGGGUGAUGACAAAUGUUUGAACACUCCUUAGCAAAUCACUCACACAUGAUUUAUGGAGCGAAUUACUUGCAGAAGGAUUACAGCACAUGUUUUCCAAAAACAUAAAUUUGGGAAAAUCAAUCUGCUCACAGACAAAUAACGAAAAGAGGAAGAGGAAAAUAUUCUCAAACAAAUCUGAAUCUGGAAAUCAUUCACUCAGCUCAGUUUACAGUGACCAAUUUUUAUGGUAGUAGGAGCUUGUGGAGUAGGAGGUAACUGUAAGAAGAAUGAUUGAUUCAGUGUCUUAUAUUGCAAUUCUGGAAGAGGUUCAACAUCUAAUUUAAAAGCCAUUUUCUUGCUCUUACCCAGUAAAGAAAUCAAAAUGAUAGUCAAUGACUGUGAGUUUUGGGCAGAUAGCAUCUAUUUUGUGUCCCUAAAGUCCUGUGGUCACUGACACAGGCUGGUUCAUAACAAAGAGCAGUUACUUAUUAUGAAAGGCCUCUCUUGCCUGAAAAGAAGCCUGCCAGAGGAAGGAUAUUGCUGUUAUAAUCCUCUUUGCAUCUUCCCAUCAGAGGGGAAAAUAUUUGCUCUUCCCGAAGGCUCAAAAUUAGUUAUAAACUUGGUGCUUUCCUUCAGCCUGUGAGUUGGGGAGACCUGAGUAAACUGCAUCUUCUCCAGCCCAUCUUCAUUUCUUCACAGUAAUUAAGAGAGCAGUGAUUUACUUCACCCUAGGAAGGAGACAAAGCACACUUUGGGCAUCUCUCUCCCAAGGCCUAGCCACACACCUGGCACAGGUGCUUCCUGCUCCAGACAGAGGUGGCUCUGAGUGUCCUGCUUAUGCCACUGGCACGGUGGGUGUGCAGCCAACAGCAGAUCUCCUUAAGUCCUUACGCUUUCUUCCUGAUUCCAUAUUUAACUCCUAAUUUCAUUCCUGAGCAGUCAAUGCUGUCCUUCACAGAGACAGCAGAUAGGAAGUAGUCCACUUGAGCCCUACAAGCUCAAUACUGCUAAUAUGUCAACUUCAACAAUUUAUCCAUACAAGAGCUUUAACUCCAACAACAAUCUGAAUGCAGACAGAUCUCAGCCUGCCUCUGUAGAACGCUUGAUCCAGGUCAAAACCUACCACUAACCUUUGCCUUUAUCCUGCCCAGAAUCCCCCAGACCACAUGCAUUUGGGAAGCUGGGCUAGAGAGGGUAAGAAAGAUAUCCUGCUAGCUUUUUUGGCUAUUGUUUAAUUUGUUACACAUGAUUAACUCCUCUAUGUUGCUGCCUGGCAGAAUCCGUGACUAAAAAUAUCCUGUGAGUAUACGGUGCGUGCUGCAACACUGGCAGAAAGUAAAUAAGACCAUAGUCCUCAUAAUCACUGUUUUUGCUAAGAACUACUGCUCCCAGCAGACUGGCUAUUUUAGGCUGUAAAUGGAAAGCUGAAAAUGAGGUUUUCUUUCCCUGCCAGUUCUUCUCCUGGGAAUUCUAUUGCUUUCUGCUCUGCCCCUACUCCAGGUGUUGAUGGCAGCACGCUGCUAACACUGGUCUCACAGGGAAUGGAUCACCAGAGCUGGUUCUGAGGUAUACCAGUGAACAUAGGAAAUAAUUUCCACUAGUAUUGUCAUAUCAUUUGAAUGGAGCACUUGAUCAAAAGUGGAUGGGGAUAGUUUGAUUUACUUCUUGAGUCAGGUGAUAGUUCACUCAGAUUCAGCUUUACGAAGUCAGAAGGGUAUCUUUAGCUGCCUGCACUUCCUGUUCUAAUACUGGUAAAUAUAUUUGCCUCUCUCUUAAUUUUGCAGAACACCUUUUAACCUCUUAUUUGAUGAUCUAAACACAAACACUCUUGAUUUGUAGUCCCAUUGAUACCAGCGAUGCCUGGCCUUGUCUCCAUGAUAUAGCACCUAGAUCACACGUAUCAUAUAGAUCUAAUGAAAGAACUUUGCACGGUGUGCAAAUCUGAGAAGUGCUAAUUAUUAUUCUUAGACUUCAUGCAUUAUGUAUUUUCUGCUGGAAAAAGCUUUGCGUUUUUAGGAAUUCAAAAGAUUAGGCUUUGCUAGAGCAACAUGCAAAUCUAAGAACUUGAGAACAAGUCAUAAUCUUUAGCAUUAGCUGUACCUUUCUGAUGGCUCAAAUGUUGUUUAGAAGGAUUUUCUAGGAAGGAUUUUCCAGGAAACACCCUAGCUAUUUCAUACUGUAUGGCAAACAGGUAUACAGAUUGUAAGGUAUACAGGUAUAGGACCAGAGAGAUUACCGUGUUUACAAAAGAGUAAUGAAAUAAAGAGCUUACCCAUAUCCUGGGCUCACAGAAGGGUUCCAAAAGGGAUGAUCUCCAGAUAGAGAUCCUUCCUCCUUGGGAGACAGCCCUUAAAUGGGGUCUAGGAGGUCACUAAGGUGAAAUUGCGUUCACCUGUGCCCCUGCAGCUGACUCUGCUCACCUCAGGUGGUCAAUCAGAGGUUCAGGCCGUGAUUCAACAGUUCCCGUACACAUGGCAUGAACACUGCUGUCGUAUCAGGCCUGUAUAGCCUUAUUUGUGGAAUACCACUCAAGAGCAUCCUUUGAGUUGCUGAGUAGCUGCUGAGUUCUUUUAAUCAGUUGUACUACUGUGAAGUGGUCUGUGUAUAUAAAAAAUAUAAACUUUUAACUUCCCACACAAAUAUCAGCCAGCAGCAUUCUGACAUUCAAUAAAGUCUGCAGUUCUAAUAGUUACUGAAACUUUUCAAAGUUAUGCCUAAAUGGAGGCAAUUAUAUAUCCAUACCUGUAUUUGCAGCGUUCUUAUGGUGUCUUAUUUCUUUCAAGAUCCUAUUGACUUUUCAGUUCAUGUGGUAUGAUACAGCAAGAGAUCACUGAGCACAGGGCUGGCCCACCAGCAGGCAUUCUGCUCUGCCUGCUGCACUUAUGUGGCAUGAAAGGAGGCUGUGGUCACAGUGAGGCUCCUGCAACCACCUUCCACCAGGUGAGGGAUCAUAGGAUGGCUUGUGUUGGAAGGGUGCCUUUAACGUUCGUUCAUUUCCAACCCCUCUGCUGUGGGCUGGGAUAUCUCCCACUAGAUCAGAUUUCCUGAUGACCCAUCCAGCCUGGUCUUGAAUGCCUUCAGGGAUGGGGCAUCCACAACUUCUCUGGGCAACCUGUGACAGUGCCUCACCUUCUGAGGAAAGUAUUUCUUCCUAAACGUCUAACCCAAAUCUCCUGUCAUUUAGUUUAAAACCAUUCCCCUUUGUUCUACCACUAUCUGCUUUGGUAAAAAGUUGGUCUCCGUUCAGUUUCUUGCCCUCUUUAAGUUCUGAAAGGCCACAACAAGGUCUCCCUGGAGCCUCCUCCAAGCAAAACAAGCCCAAGUCCCUCAACCUUUCCUCAUAGUAGAAGUACUCCAGUCCUGUGUGCGUCUUAGCAGCCCUCCUCUGUACUUGCCUACCCAACAGCUCCACAUCCUCCUCGUGCCGGGUGCCCCAGACCUGGACACAGUCAGAUGGGGAAGCAGUGGUCAGCACUACAAAUUCCCAAGGAUGCCCAAGAUAUUAGUGAUUUUCUGCCUCCAGGGAUAUCUGUUGGGUUGCACAACCCUUCUGUGAGUUCCUCGGGUCUUCCCCAUUUGCAGACUUUUGCUCCUCAUGUUACUGUGAACAGUCCUCUCAUCUUCAGUCUGCACUUAUUCAUGACUAAUUUAUACCCACAUGAUCCCAGGCUAACAUUAACCUUUAACUCCUGCAGUUCUUCCUGCUUGAUAUUCACCCCUUAGGGUAUUUAUAAAUAGUUACAGUCUCAUGCUUAAUUUGCUGUGCUAAAAAAGAUGUACUGAUGUUUAUCAGCAACAGAAUCCUUCCUGCAGAAUCAUAAGUGUGUUCCUUCAUCUUGAAGAUUAGCUCCAAACAGGCCCCUGCUUUGCAAAAACACAGCAUUCCCAGUCCCACGCAGAAGCGGAUCACAUUUUGCUGGCAGCGAGAUCUCCUCAGUGUCCCCGUCACUGGGUGAAACAAGAUGGCGCCCGGCCCCUCACACCUGGGUGAGGCCUGGUGGCACCACGCUGUUCCCGCCAAACAUUCCACCUCCACUGAGGAGAUGAGGUGGCAGCCUCCCAAACACAUAUAACUGGUCCUAAAUGAUCCCAAAGUGUGGCUGAGAGCAGCCCCAAGCCACAGUGCAUGCCUGCUAAGGUUGGCCCAUCCUCAGCUGAGAGCCAGAUGCAUGCUGUGUGAACAGCCCCUUGGCAGAAGAGAAUUAUUAGCCUCCCCCUGUUGGCACCUCCCUCUUUGUUAACAAAUACUUACUUGGAGGAAAAAAAGAAAAAAGAAAAAAAAAAAAGCAUUAUCCUGAAGGUAUGUAUAUAAGAUAUCCCUUAUCAAAAUGCUGAACCGUUGGGAGAACUUCCUUUGGUGUAGGCUACACUGUGUCACCAGGUGCAUCUUCCCCACAGGCCACAUGCUCCUUGUCACCUUUUCCUUCCCUUCCCUCAGUUCCCUUUCUCCCAGCACCCACCACUCACUGACAUAUGGCAUUGCUGCCAUGAGGAGAGGCUCCUUCACAGAGCACGGGGUGCCCCACAUGGCAGCAUGGUACCGCCCUUCCCCACCCACACCACCUUGAUGGGCACUUUUCCCUGGCAAAACCUUCCCCUGUGCUGAGCUACACCAUCUGGAGGAAGCAUUCCUACAAAAUGCUUACUGGCCCAUUACAGAGUGAUUCUCUUCCAUUUUUGCUUUUGUGUUCUGCAGUACAAUCCCACAGGUUGGACUCUGAAGUGCCUGGACCUGGUGCUUCACAUGGGUAGCAAAAGGCAAGGUGAAGAUGUUCCUGACAAGCUAACAAUCUCAUUUUUAUAGUUAAACCUAUAGUGUUACUGGUCUUCUAAGCAUGCAGCAUGGCAAACACCAGUGCAAACAGGCUCCUCCAAAAGAAACAAGCACUCUGACUUAGGAAAACCGAAUAUUGAGCUCUGUGAAGGAGCAGCAAAAAAUUCUGCAGAAACUCUUGACAUCUCUUCGAGGUAAGCUCCCUGCUACAGAGCUGCUUUUUAGAUCACCAUGCUGAAAAUAGUAGUGACAAGAGUGUUUCUAGCCAUCAUUUACAGAAAGGAAAAAGAGUUUUCACUCCGAGGUAUUUAUAGCAGCCUAUUUGAAUACAGGGGAUUUAGUAAAUUCAGAAUUCUCAGUGCUGAACUUUACUGAGAAACUGACUUUGCAGAGAUGAAGUUACACCUCAUCAGGCUGCCUUGCUUUGAUAAUUAACUUACUUAAAGCGCAGCAGUGAAAAAUUUCUCCGCUUUAAGAUGAAAUGUUUCACGUUGUCAUUGCUCUUAGCACGCAGAUGUCAGGAAGGAGCUCAGAGGUUACAGACUGACUGCAUCUGGGGGGCAUCGCCCAGCAGAACCUCAGUGUGUGAGGCGGCCGUUGUCACUGCUUCACUGCCGGCCUAUAGGCACGGCCUGGUGCAGAGCAGGAAAUCCAUCUCUGCUCUUACGAAAGGAAAAGCAGGCGUUGCAGGAUGAGGCUGCACAUUCAGGGCACAAGAAGCUGCAGCAAUAAGGCACUGCAACACCACGUUACUGAAUUACAAAAAUAAGCAUCUAAAGAAGCGGACGAUAAUACAGCUGUGCCGCUGAUGCAGAGUCCCACUUGGUCCAGGUGAACCUGCAUUCCCUGCUGUACUGGUGCUGCUGUCACUAUGGCUCCCAAUGCUCCAUGCCCAGGGCAGGGAUGGCACUCACUGGAAUGCUCCCAUAUUUCUUAUUGUGGAAAUCUCAUUUAAGGUCUGACCUCAUCCAGAGGCAGCGAGAGGCAAAGAAAUGGGUUUAAUUUAUUCAUGGUUUUGCUUUGAAUUCAAGCAGCCAGCCUCAGCAGCGUCCACCUAGGGGCUGGGGUACAGAGGGGCAGAUUUUAGUGCAGCCCAUCAGCACUGCAGGACCAGAUGGCACAUAGUGGUAUGGUCCUGGUCCCCCUAGUUCCCCGGCACCUGCCCUGGGCAGCAGAGCCCCAGCACCCACCAGCCCUGGUCCCAUGCUCCCCUGUGCACUAAGACAAGCUGCUCAGCACAGUGUCCCCAGCACAGCAUAACUGUGGGACAGGAAACAAUUCCCACUGUGUGCCGAGGAGGAGGAGGAGGGCUGGGGGAAAGAAGGGUGACUCCGUAACAGCACUGUUCUCCAGGGAUGAGAUGCCAGAGCAAGUGCAUCAUCAUGGAGAGACACCCAGCGAACGCAGAAACACAGCUAAUUUUAGCAGGAAAUAGGUUUCUGUUCUGUUUCAAUUUAUCCUUAAAUUCCCCCUUGCCCACAGCACACAAGGAUGACUGCCAAGGGCAGAGCUGCAGCUGAUCAGCAAACAGGGCACCAAUCCGGGACACUAAAUCUUCCAACUCAUUCCCUGACAAAGGCAAAUGCCAGGGCAACCGUUCCCAUCUUAAGCAGAAACCACUGGGUUCUCCUCGUUGCUCUCAGGGAUUGCAAACACGCUCAGUGCUUACACCCAGUUUUUAACAAAAACAGGACUGCAGGAGACCCUUUUUGCAGCCACAGAGGGCGUUUUGCUCACAGCCACCCCACCACCCCUGGGUGCGUGUGGGCAGAGCUCCCCCGAAUCCUUCUGCCAGCAGUUGUACACAGCAAAGCAUGAACUCAGAAACCAAACGUUUUGAUUGGGUUUCUGCCACGAGCUGAGCAGCGAUAAGGAAUGCGGCUGGGUUGAAACACGCUGGCUGCCGGCUCCGGCCUCGCUGCUCAAAAGAGGUUUUCAGAGACCCUCGCAGCUUUGAGAGAAGGCUUCUGGGUGAUUAAAUGAUCGGUGAACUCUGCCCACUUUCAGACGCUAAAUUCAUCCGAGGAGAUGAAACAUAAGUCAGGUUUUUGAUAUUUGGAAGGACUGCAAAAAUAGAGCCCAUCUGAUGCUGGGUAUUAUAAAAACAAGGCUCGGGGAAGAGGCUGCUGCUUUCAGUUUACUUAAUUAGUUUAUACACUGAAACUAUGAAUAAAAGGGCUGUGCAAUUGCUUUGGCUUCAGUAGUAGCCCCGCAACCAUGACAACGGUGAAGCAUUACUGAAUCACCAUGACAAAGAACUGAGAGAGGCUGCUGCUGCAGGAAGGGAACUCGGGCCAAUCAGAAGUGGUGCACGCAUGGAAAGCACGGCCUGCAGGAGUUGUACUUAACCUAAGAAGCCUAAGAAGCACUGGUUCUUAGAGCUCUAUGAAAAGAAAGAUCUGGGAAUGGGCCUCAGGCCCCUCGAAACAUCUACGGAGGUUCAUUUGGACCGUCCCCUUCACUGCUGGGUAAGGACGACGUUCUGCAGCUGCCGCUACCUCCUUAAAAGAAAAGCAGAACUGAAAAUGCACGGAGCAGAGCUGUGCUCCUGCCAAUAGCGGGGAAAUGCAGCCACAGCGCCAGCAGGGCCAGCCGAGGGAUGUGCCAGGCGUGCAGUGUGUGCCAGUCCCGCCCCAGGGACCUCAGUGCAGCACCAGCUCGGCACUUGCAGGCCGGGUGCUGCUGCUGCUCCAGAGGUUUGCUCACAGCAUGCUGCUCAGCGAGCGGCUGCACUUCAGCCCAUGGCUGGUGGCACUUUGCACCAUCCCAUGCCCUAUGGGACUCGGCUCUCAGAGCGCCCGGUGCUCCAGCACGCACACCGCACACCUUGUCCUACUGCUGUUCAUAAAGAACAAUGAAAAAAAUCACACGCUUGUCGCCCUCCCUUCCCCACCAGCCUACACUCUCCUGAGAAAUAGGAAAUAAGUUUGAAAGCAGAGGAAGGGACGAAACAUUUGCAUGGUACACGUUUCCACCACCACACCGUGCCUUGCUGCUUUCUCCUCUUGUGGCCCCACCAAGCAGCCCCAUGCCGGCAGCAGAGCCCAGUCCUUGGGCAGUAGGCACAGCCCCAGCAGUGCAUGUGCUCCUGCUCUGGGAGAGGGUGGAAGAGAGAGGAAGGAGAGCAGCGCUCAAAGAGCAUCUGCCCAGCACCAGGGCAGGGCAGCAGGGAGCAAGGUGAGGGCAGAGGCCUGGGGAGCUGCUCACAGACUGGCUCAAGGCAGGGAGCAGAGGGGCUUUUAAAACGCCAUGUCCUUGGGAUCGCCAGGCACAGUGUUAUUAUGCUCUUUCACAGAGUCUCCAUCACUCCUGCUGAUGGUCCACUUAUUUUAGGGGACUCAUUCAGUCCUUACACAGCAAACUUGGAAAGAGGUGAUGAUGCCUCUGCACCAGCACAGCAGCAGUCAAAACAAACUGGCUUUCACAGCCUGCACGGCCAUCCCAGACCACAGAGGGCAGGCAGAGCUGUGCUGAGGCUGCUGCCCUGGCAGCAAAUGGUGUCAGCAUUACAGAAAGGUGUGCUGAGCUUUUUUUGGAGGGCUGAAACAAUAGGAGGCAUCACCCAAAAAUAGCUGAGGGAGGUCAGGAGCUGAGCUCAGUGGCAGGAAGGCUUCCCUGUCUGCAAGCAUGGAGCUGGGAUGUGGGCACUGGCUGCUUGGGGGGGCCGCAGGGGCUGAGUGCCCAGAGGAUCAUCCAGGCAAGAAGAGAGCUGCUGCCUGCUCUGUGUGUGCUCAGGAAAGCUGAGCUCUGCGCAGCCUCUGGAAAUAAACAGCACUGCUGGCGAGACAUGCGGCCGAUCCAUCUUCCCUGCAGAAAGAGCUCUAUGAGCCUGCAAAUGUGGGCAAGGUGCUCGGGCCAGGGGAGGUCCCUGAGCAGUCUUGCAGCUUGUUGAGCAGCUAUGGAGCACUGCCCCAUGGGAGGCCUGCUCCUGCUCCGCGCAUUAUAACACACCGUGGGACUGUGGGGAUGUGGCUGCAGCAGCUCCAAGGUCACACUUGGGCUGCUCAGGGAAACCUGCGGCACCCCCACACAGCACCCAUGCCUCCUGAGGGCUCCGAAACCCUUUGGGCAGGUGGUGGAGCUCCUCCUGUGCUUGUACCUCUCUCACCUUCCUUGUGCUGCCAGCAUGCUUCCAGCAUCGUUACCUCUGGGCCGGAGAGGGGACUUCUGCAAACAGCCACAACUCAAACUGAAAGAGAGCAUUCAGUUUUGAGUUUCUAGCAACCACAUUUUCCAUUGAAGGACCAGCCAGAGAGACAAUCUUCAAACAAUUCUACUUGCCUAGUUUUAUAAUAAUUGAUGUUAGAAAACAGUGAAGAAUAAUAGCAGGCAGAAGCACAAAGAAAGGCUUCUGAGCAGUUGGCUCUACCGGACUUGUGUCCCUUCACUUGCAAACACUGGUGAGCAAGCAGAAACAUUUUUCACAUCACAGUGCUAAUUGUCAUCUUCCUUUCAUAUCAUUCCUCAGUGAUGAACGUUCAUCAGCAAAAAUACCUGGAAAUACUUGCCUAGAUUCCUAUUGCAACGCAAUCAGUGACUGACCUUGCACCAGCAUGAGCAGAACCACAGAUCUGUCCUGUGCACAGCAUGGGCGCAUCAGAAGAAGGAUGCCCUCCUGCUGCCUCCCUCCUCCCCUUCUCACCCCCCCAAUACCAGACAGCACCACCAGGUACACGAAAACAAAGGUUCACUCUGCCACCAAUUGGUGGGCACAGCACUGCCGAGCUUUCACCACUCAUAUUUACAGGUGUUUGUUUUCUUGUUUUUAAACCAACGCAGACUUCAGAUUAAAAAGGGACAACAAGGCCAGGUUAAGCUGGACAGUAUUUCCCCCAAGUGUCACAGUUAAGGCUGCAAAGUCUCCUCAUACACCUACAUCCCAAGCGCUCCCCACGUCAGCUGCUGCCAGGAGAUGCACCCACAGCCAACAGCCCCGGCAGCCCGAGCUCUCACAUGCAACAGCAAAUAUUUGAGGAUUAUUUUGCCAUGUUUGAUGUUUUUAGCUGACUCCCAAUUUCCGUGGCUAUGCUAACAGCCCUUGGAAUCCUCGUUAAACGUCUCACAGCCGCAAAUAUCUCCAUGUGUCCCCGGCAUCAAAUCAGCAUCUCGCCAAAUUUAUUCCCCCCUUUCUUUCCAGAGAUUCUCCUGCUCCAAGUGCUGAAGUGCCAAGAAACCGAGGACAGAAAAUAAACCAUUUACACAUGCUCUCAAAUCUCACUGAAACUGUUUAAUUCCAGAGAGGAUCUGAAAACUGUUCAACAUUUUUUCCCUAGGUCAGUAGCAGUUAAAAUACUUCUCUGCUUCAAAAGUCACCAUUGCAGGAAGUUAACAUUUUUAACAUUUGCAAUUAUUUCCUUUUAUUGCCACUAUAUAUAUAUAUUGCUCAAAUUAAAUUGUGUUUGCUAGGUGCACAGUCAUGCUGACACGCUGGGUGUUUGCACUCCCUGCUGCAACAGCAGCAAGGGUGUCAGGGAGAAAUGCAGCAUCUUCCACAGCUCCUGUUGCUAAGCGCCCUUGCCUACCAGUGCUCUGUGUUUCUCCGGACUCUCCUGCCUUGGAACUCUGCCCAAGUUCUGGUGACACCACUGCCCCAUGAGUCGCACUGACCUUGGGGAGGGGGCACAGGCCCCGUCAGCUGCAUGUGGGAUCCCUAGGACCACUCAGGCCCCGACCAUUCCCUGCUCUGGGCCAGCCAAGGCGGCAGCAGGAGGUCCAGGCCCACAGCUGCCAGUCUCUGUAGGGGUCAUACCAACCUACACCUUGCCACGCUUUACCCAGGGUGCCCAAGAGCAGACGAGCUGCUGCCAAUGCAGCUCUACCCUGUGAGCUGCAGCCAAACAACACUUUGGUACUUAGUGUGCACCUUACGAGCAGAUCUCAGAGGAAUCUGACAUAGAUCCCAUUGUUCUGCAUGCCUUAGCUAGGGUACAGAAGUGUGAUUCUCCAUCAUACCUGUUCCAUUAGGUUUUGGGAAGCCUCGGCUCUUCAGCCAAUCAACCUCAAAGCCAGGCUACUUUGGCUUGCAACCAUCACUUCACCUCAGCUA